This 497-nucleotide ribosomal RNA is filed under the name uncultured bacterium. RNAcentral describes it as "partial 16S ribosomal RNA". It matches the Rfam family "Bacterial small subunit ribosomal RNA", at positions 28 to 507 of the family's 1533-position model. The record is from RNAcentral.
GAUGAACGCUGGCGGCGUGCCUAAUACAUGCAAGUCGAGCGAACGGACGAGAAGCUUGCUUCUCUGAUGUUAGCGGCGGACGGGUGAGUAACACGUGGAUAACCUACCUAUAAGACUGGGAUAACUUCGGGAAACCGGAGCUAAUACCGGAUGAUAUUUUGAACCGCAUGGUUCAAAAGUGAAAGACGGUCUUGCUGUCACUUAUAGAUGGAUCCGCGCUGCAUUAGCUAGUUGGUAAGGUAACGGCUUACCAAGGCAACGAUGCAUAGCCGACCUGAGAGGGUGAUCGGCCACACUGUAACUGAGACACGGUCCAGACUCCUACGGGAGGCAGCAGUAGGGAAUCUUCCGCAAUGGGCGAGAGCCUGACGGAGCAACGCCGCGUGAGUGAUGAAGGUCUUCGGAUCGUAAAACUCUGUUAUUAGGGAAGAACAUAUGUGUAAGUAACUGUGCACAUCUUGACGGUACCUAAUCAGAAAGCCACGGCUAACUACGUG